UACGUAGGGUGCGAGUGUUGUCCGGAAUUAUUGGGCGUAAAGAGCUCGUAGGCGGUCUGUCGCGUCGGCUGUGAAAACCCGGAGCUCAACUCCGGGCCUGCAGUCGAUACGGGCAGACUGGAGUUCGGCAGGGGAGACUGGAAUUCCUGGUGUAGCGGUGAAAUGCGCAGAUAUCAGGAGGAACACCGGUGGCGAAGGCGGGUCUCUGGGCCGAUACUGACGCUGAGGAGCGAAAGCGUGGGGAGCGAACAGG
Molecule: ribosomal RNA, 253 nt
Filed under: uncultured bacterium
Lineage: Bacteria
Description: partial 16S ribosomal RNA
Rfam family: Bacterial small subunit ribosomal RNA
Source: RNAcentral